RNAcentral lists this unclassified non-coding RNA (334 nucleotides) under uncultured Glomeraceae. RNAcentral describes it as "sequence contains 18S rRNA gene". Lineage: Eukaryota; Fungi; Glomeromycota; Glomeromycetes; Glomerales; Glomeraceae. The record is from RNAcentral.
CCCAACUAUCCCUAUUAAUCAUUACGUCAAUCUUAGAAACCAACAAAAUAGGUUCGAUCAUCUUAUUUUAUUAUUCCAUGCUAAUGUAUUCAAGCGUUAGCCUGCUUUAAACACUCUAAUUUUUUCAAAGUAACAGUCCUGUUUCCCUGCAACACCAAAUUAAUGACAUUACAGUUCUUCAAGAAGGAGGAAUCAGUAAAGCCAGUACAUACCAUAGGCACGACCAACCUACUGACCCCGAAAUUCAACUACGAGCUUUUUAACUGCAACAACUUUAAUAUACGCUAUUGGAGCUGGAAUUACCGCGGCUGCUGGCACCAGACUUGCCCUCCAA